Molecule: long non-coding RNA, 1457 nt
Filed under: Numida meleagris (helmeted guineafowl)
Lineage: Eukaryota; Metazoa; Chordata; Aves; Galliformes; Numididae
Description: lncRNA (ENSNMEG00000010687.1)
Source: RNAcentral
AAUCAUUCCAUGCUUUCCUCAAUAUUUUUUUCAUUCAGUUCAAAGCUAUGGCAAUGACCUUAAAAGUGUUAGAAGAGAAAUAAUUGGUAUUGUUUCAUAAUUUGUCGUUUACCACCUCAUUGUCAAUAAUUCUUGGUUAUGAUAUUAUUAGCCUAUCAUUUACCAUUUUCUUAAUUUGUGAAGGCAAAACCUGGAAAGGAAUCCCAGGCAAAGGGUUGACCCUGUACUAUAGAAUGAUUAACUGUUUUUCAUCCCACUAGUCAGGAUUAUAGAAAUAUGACUACGCAUCACUCGAGACAAAGGUGCACGCUAUCUUACUUUGAUUCCACAUGUGAUUCUAAUAUAGGAUUCUGGAGUAUUGCCCAACAGAUUUUUAGUUCACUGGUUCUUUCAAUUGGCACCUAUAUCCGGGGCCCAAACGCCCCUCACUAUAGAAUGAUCUUGGGAUACUCUGAUAGUUUUAAGGGAACUGACAAUCGAGUCUAUAGUUGCAAAUAUUUUGUCUCGUAGAGACAGCUGACGUUAGCAGCUUGUUUUGCUUUAUGAACAGGUGUUCCACUUGGGCUCUGUAUAUCGCACUGGCCAUGCGGAUGCAGUGUACAAAUGGAAAAAACCCUGCAGACCCUGAGAAGAAUAAAAGCGGGAGAGAGUCUGUGGUGGGUGAGAGAGGAGAAGUGCACCUUGAAGCAGGGGACGCCCUGCUGGCACUACCUAUCGCACCCACUGCUGCCGUGUUUCUUCUCUCUCCUUUCUGGUGGUUUGCCACCUUUCAAGGCACCUGUUCCGAUAAAGUACAGCUGUGGAGCGUGACUGCCAGGAUUUUUGCCUCAUUCCUAACCCCGGGAGUUGCUGCCGCCCAAGCCUUGAAACAGAUUGAACGUCUAGCGUGCUGGACUGUUAAACAGAGCAAUCAUACUUCAGAGAUCCUCGAAGAAAUGUUAGAAGAUAUGAACAGCCUUCGUCAUGCUGUGCUCCAGAAUCGAGCCGCAAUAGACUUUCUUUUACUUGCUCAAGGGCAUGGCUGUAAAGAGUUUGAUGGAAUGUGUUGUUUUAAUCUUUCUGAUCAUAGCAAAUCAAUUCAAAAACAAAUUCAUUGGUUGCUUAAUCACACUCGAUCCAUUACUGAGGAUCAUAAUCCUAUUGAUGAUUGGUUGCAUUCUGUGUUUCCAGGUCUUGCUCCUUGGAUAUAUGAUAUCAUUAAGGAAAGGUUUCAAAUGGGUUUUAAUCAUUAUUCUACUUGUGAUAGUUGCUAGAAUAUUGUAUAGUUGUCUGCUGCGUGCUACCGCGCCAAAAGCUGCGCUUGUUGUGACUGACAACAAGGAUUCGGACAUCAUUCGUGAUUGGCUACAAAAUCAAGGGGGGCACAAUCCUAAGGAUUGUUUUGCCUUACAACCCUAAAAGAAAAAGGGGGGAAUUGUUGGGAAACAGCUUGCUUGGCAGCGCUUGGCAGCACGUAG